This 333-nucleotide unclassified non-coding RNA is filed under the name soil metagenome. RNAcentral's name for it is "partial contains 5.8S ribosomal RNA, internal transcribed spacer 2, and large subunit ribosomal RNA". The stretch from base 1 to 120 matches the Rfam family "5.8S ribosomal RNA", at positions 35 to 154 of the family's 154-position model. The record is from RNAcentral.
GAUGAAGAACGUAGCGAAAUGCGAUACGUAAUGUGAAUUGCAGAAUUCAGUGAAUCAUCGAAUCUUUGAACGCACAUUGCGCCUGCCAGCACUCUGGCAGGCAUGCCUGUUCGGGCGUCAUUUCAACCAUCAAGCCCUAGGCUUGCGUUGGAGCCCUGCGGCUGCCGCAGGCCCCUAAAAGCAGUGGCGGGCUCGCUAUCACACCGAGUGCAGUAGAUUACUCUUCGCUCAGGGCGUGUGGCGGGUUCCAGCCGUGAAACCCCCUACUUCUCAAGGUUGACCUCGGAUCAGGUAGGAAUACCCGCUGAACUUAAGCAUAUCAUAAGCGGAGGA